This is a long non-coding RNA of Entelurus aequoreus (snake pipefish), 717 nucleotides long. RefSeq lists it as uncharacterized. Lineage: Eukaryota; Metazoa; Chordata; Actinopteri; Syngnathiformes; Syngnathidae. The record is from RefSeq and is a predicted model, not a curated record. The transcript has 3 exons.
UGCUGAUUGACACACCUGCUUGACUCGACAAACGACGAGUAGAGACAAGAGACGUUACACAGAAAAAGUUGAAAAUAAACUAAUAAAAGGUGUAACUAACAAGAUGAAUCCAACCGGUUACACCUACCAAUGAAGAGGGAACCCCAAGAAAGGACGACAGAGAGACUGGAAAACGUUGUUUCCCCUCCAUCGAAAUGUGCUGGAAUUGUGCGGUCCAGAACGUUGGCUGCACGUCGCCGACAGGGGUUCCCGCGAGGUCACGAUCUGGCUGGAGGAUUUUGACGUGAACUCGCAUGGCUGCGGUAGUUGUGAACCCAAGAUGCAGGAAACAGGAGAUCGAUGCGCAGGUGAGAUAUAGCGCUCUCACUCUUAGACUCUACCUCACGAAGAAAAACUGGUUGCAUUUGGAAAGACCCUCCUAACCCCUUUCACCAUUCCUUUCACCUGCUCCCAUAAUGUAGCUACUUUAGAGCACUUAAGGCUCCAAAAAUAAACAUACUUGUUUGUUCAUUACCACUUGUUGAAAAAAAACCCACAGUGAAGUGUCAACUUUAAUGCUGGUACUGUAGUAACAUGGCAGCUGCUGUCAAUCAACCACACAUUUUAUUCACCAAGAAAGCCUGCACAAAAGGGAAAUGUGCCAUUUUUCCUUUUAUCCGCUGUGUAAGUCUCGCACAACUAUUACCUAAGUAUUUUUAAAACCUUGCUAAUGUUUUU